Molecule: transfer RNA, 72 nt
Filed under: Planctomycetaceae bacterium
Lineage: Bacteria; Pseudomonadati; Planctomycetota; Planctomycetia; Planctomycetales; Planctomycetaceae
Also listed under: 2 other names
Description: tRNA-Thr
Rfam family: tRNA
About the family: Transfer RNA (tRNA) molecules are approximately 80 nucleotides in length. Their secondary structure includes four short double-helical elements and three loops (D, anti-codon, and T loops).
Source: RNAcentral
GCCGCCGUAGCUCAAUGGUAGAGCACGUGAUUUGUAAUCUCGAGGUUACCGGUUCAAGUCCGGUCGGCGGCU